AACGAACGCUGGCGGCAGGCCUAACACAUGCAAGUCGAGCGCCCCGCAAGGGGAGCGGCGGACGGGUGAGUAACGCGUGGGAACGUACCCUUUGCUACGGAAUAGCCUCGGGAAACUGGGAGUAAUACCGUAUGUGCCCUUCGGGGGAAAGAUUUAUCGGCAAAGGAUCGGCCCGCGUUGGAUUAGGUAGUUGGUGGGGUAAUGGUCUACCAAGCCGACGAUCCAUAGCUGGUUUGAGAGGAUGAUCAGCCACACUGGGACUGAGACACGGCCCAGACUCCUACGGGAGGCAGCAGUGGGGAAUCUUAGACAAUGGGCGCAAGCCUGAUCUAGCCAUGCCGCGUGAGCGAUGAAGGCCUUAGGGUUGUAAAGCUCUUUCAGUGGGGAAGAUAAUGACUGUACCCACAGAAGAAGCCCCGGCUAACUCCGUGCCAGCAGCCGCGGUAAAGUACAGUGU
RNAcentral lists this ribosomal RNA (457 nucleotides) under uncultured bacterium. RNAcentral's name for it is "bacterial SSU rRNA". It matches the Rfam family "Bacterial small subunit ribosomal RNA", at positions 29 to 533 of the family's 1533-position model. The record is from RNAcentral.